CAGUAGCCGCGGUAAUACGAAGGGUGCAAGCGUUAAUCGGAAUUACUGGGCGUAAAGCGUGCGUAGGCGGUGAGUUAAGUCUGCUGUGAAAUCCCCGGGCUCAACCUGGGAACUGCAUUUGUGACUGGCAAGCUAGAGUGUGGCAGAGGGGGGUGGAAUUCCGCGUGUAGCAGUGAAAUGCGUAGAGAUGUGGAGGAACACCGAUGGCGAAGGCAGCCCCCUGGGCCAAUACUGACGCUCAUGCACGAAAGCGUGGGGAGCAAACAGGAUUAGAGACCCCCGUAGUCCCUGUCUCUUAUAC
RNAcentral lists this ribosomal RNA (301 nucleotides) under uncultured bacterium. RNAcentral's name for it is "partial 16S ribosomal RNA". It matches the Rfam family "Bacterial small subunit ribosomal RNA", at positions 509 to 807 of the family's 1533-position model. The record is from RNAcentral.